GACGAACGCUGGCGGCGUGCCUAAUACAUGCAAGUCGAACGCACGAAGUUGAAGAGCUUGCUCUUUAACCAAGUGAGUGGCGGACGGGUGAGUAAUACGUGGGUAACCUGCCCAUUAGAGGGGGAUAACAUUCGGAAACGGAUGCUAAUACCGCAUAGUUUCAGGAAUCGCAUGAUUCUUGAAGGAAAGGUGGCUUCGGCUACCACUAAUGGAUGGACCCGCGGCGUAUUAGCUAGUUGGUGAGGUAAUGGCUCACCAAGGCAAUGAUACGUAGCCGACCUGAGAGGGUGAUCGGCCACACUGGGACUGAGACACGGCCCAGACUCCUACGGGAGGCAGCAGUAGGGAAUCUUCCGCAAUGGACGAAAGUCUGACGGAGCAACGCCGCGUGAGUGAAGAAGGUUUUCGGAUCGUAAAACUCUGUUGUUAAAGAAGAACAAGGAUGAGAGUAACUGCUCAUCCCCUGACGGUAUUUAACCAGAAAGCCACGGCUAACUACGUGCCAGCAGCCGCGGUAAUACGUAGGUGGCAAGCGUUGUCCGGAUUUAUUGGGCGUAAAGCGAGCGCAGGCGGUUCUUUAAGUCUGAUGUGAAAGCCCCCGGCUCAACCGGGGAGGGUCAUUGGAAACUGGAGAACUUGAGUGCAGAAGAGGAGAGUGGAAUUCCACGUGUAGCGGUGAAAUGCGUAGAUAUGUGGAGGAACACCAGUGGCGAAGGCGACUCUCUGGUCUGUAACUGACGCUGAGGCUCGAAAGCGUGGGGAGCAAACAGG
RNAcentral lists this ribosomal RNA (771 nucleotides) under uncultured Vagococcus sp. RNAcentral's name for it is "bacterial SSU rRNA". It matches the Rfam family "Bacterial small subunit ribosomal RNA", at positions 28 to 776 of the family's 1533-position model. Lineage: Bacteria; Bacillati; Bacillota; Bacilli; Lactobacillales; Enterococcaceae. The record is from RNAcentral.